This 80-nucleotide microRNA precursor is filed under the name Nicotiana tabacum (common tobacco). Its description in RNAcentral is "miR6154b stem-loop (nta-MIR6154b)". It matches the Rfam family "MIR6154 microRNA precursor family". Lineage: Eukaryota; Viridiplantae; Streptophyta; Magnoliopsida; Solanales; Solanaceae. The record is from miRBase by way of RNAcentral.
AACUCCAUAGCCUUACUCCAGGUAGAUCCACCAGAACAUGAAGUUCAAGGUGGGUCUCCUGGAGAAAGGUCCUUUGGUGG